RNAcentral lists this small nuclear RNA (22 nucleotides) under Arabidopsis thaliana (thale cress). Its description in RNAcentral is "snRNA_04066". Lineage: Eukaryota; Viridiplantae; Streptophyta; Magnoliopsida; Brassicales; Brassicaceae. The record is from RNAcentral.
ACUUUAGCGACACUAAUUAGAU